This 1070-nucleotide long non-coding RNA is filed under the name Coturnix japonica (Japanese quail). Its description in RNAcentral is "lncRNA (ENSCJPG00005020533.1)". Lineage: Eukaryota; Metazoa; Chordata; Aves; Galliformes; Phasianidae. The record is from RNAcentral.
CACCCAUCUGGUGGGCGGCUGCGAUGGCUCUGCCUGGAGCCUGGGUUUGAGUCAGGGCUGUCAUACCUGAGACUUUGGGAACACGACCAUGUCGUCUUUUAAACAAGAACUUUCAUUCUGAGGUGAAAAUGAAAGUGACCUUCAGAAGAGGAAGGAACAAAAAGAAUCUACCAAUUUUUCUAAUAAUGGAAAGCCCUCGAGGGGAAGGAUCUCCAUGUAUUCUUCAAUUUGCAUGAAUGGCUGAAUGUGUGGAUGAGAAUUUUCGUCGCUAAUGAAGCAGGAAAGACUUUGCAGCUCUCGCACAGAGCACUUCCUCUGCCUGGAAGCGGUGCUCAGUCCUAAGGGAGAGGAUGGAACCGACGCCUGUUUACUGCUGCUUUCUCAGAUGAUAAUUUUGUUGUUCCUUCCCAUCCCUGGCACUAAGUAAACACACAGAGCGCCGGAUCUGAAGGCAGCAGAGCGGAAUUUAGUGUCUGUUCCAUGUGUUUCAAUACAACUCUGAAGAUGGCAUGUUGUGAUUUUCAUCUCGCUUGUGUCCGUACUGCUGUUUUUACACAACAGAGAUGGAAACACAAUCUGUUACGUCUGUAAGAAACUUUUACUUAUGAAUGAGAGGAACGACGUAGUGUACAUCAACCCUACGGGAAGGAAGCCGCAUCCCCUCCGUGCUGGCGUACCUGAGAGCAUUAAAAAUGGCAGUUUGUGUCUAUUUACGCACCACAGGAGUUUUCACAGCAAUUUAAUCCCGCAAUGAUUCAUUAUUCAUAAGCCACCAGUAGCACCGCCAGCCACUGGCACAGCCGCCUGCAUGAUGCACACUGCAGAACGUCUCCCAGUGGUUCCUCUGUGCCUCAUGGUCAAACUGCUCCAUGGUUUUGAGGAGAACAUCUCCCCAUGCCCAUGAAUUUAGCAUGGGCCUUGGCAGUGUGUCUGCCUGGGCUGGCCAUGCCCUUCUUGCCUCUGGUCUGAAUGCCUGCAGCCACUCAGACCCGUUCAAAUAAGACAGCCCAUCUCUAGGGCUUAGGAGGGUCAUGCACAGAGUGAUGCGGGUUGCAUUCACUUCUAUCUGG